AGAGUUUGAUCAUGGCUCAGAACGAACGCUGGCGGCGUGCUUAACACAUGCAAGUCGAACGGUACCAAAGCGUAGUAAUAUGCUUUGGUAUAGUGGCGGACGGGUGAGUAACGCGUGAGCGACCUACCUUAAAGAGGGGGACAACAUCCGGAAGCGGAUGCUAAUACCGCAUAAGACCACGGUGGCGCAUGUCACAGGGGUAAAAGGAGAAAUCCGCUUUAAGAUGGGCUCGCGUCCCAUUAGCUGGUUGGUGAGGUAACGGCUCACCAAGGCGACGAUGGGUAGCCGACGUGAGAGGGUGAUCGGCCACACUGGAACUGAGACACGGUCCAGACUCCUACGGGAGGCAGCAGUGGGGAAUAUUGGGCAAUGCGCGAAAGCCUGACCCAGCAACGCCGCGUGAUUGAAGAAGGUCUUCGGAUUGUAAAGAUCUGUCCUAUGGGACGAAGAAAGUGACGGUACCAUAGGAGGAAGCCCCGGCUAACUACGUGCCAGCAGCCGCGGUAAUACGUAGGGGGCGAGCGUUGUCCGGAAUUACUGGGCGUAAAGGGUGCGCAGGCGGCGUGCUAAGUCAGAUGUGAAAUAUCCGGGCUUAACCUGGAGGGUGCAUUUGAAACUGGCAGGCUUGAGUGCAGGAGAGGAAAGUGGAAUUCCUAGUGUAGCGGUGAAAUGCGUAGAUAUUAGGAGGAACACCAGUGGCGAAGGCGACUUUCUGGACUGUAACUGACGCUGAGGCACGAAAGCGUGGGGAGCAAACAGGAUUAGAUACCCUGGUAGUCCACGCUGUAAACGAUGGAUACUAGGUGUAGGGGGCGAUAGCUCUCUGUGCCGCAGCAAACGCAAUAAGUAUCCCGCCUGGGGAGUACGAUCGCAAGGUUGAAACUCAAAGGAAUUGACGGGGGCCCGCACAAGCAGCGGAGCAUGUGGUUUAAUUCGACGCAACGCGAAGAACCUUACCAAGGCUUGACAUCCCUUGACGGCACGUAGAAAUACGUGUUCCCUUCGGGGCAAGGAGACAGGUGGUGCAUGGUUGUCGUCAGCUCGUGUCGUGAGAUGUUGGGUUAAGUCCCGCAACGAGCGCAACCCUUAUUGCUAGUUGCCAGCAUGUAAAGAUGGGAACUCUAGUGAGACUGCCGGGGACAACUCGGAGGAAGGUGGGGACGACGUCAAAUCAUCAUGCCCCUUAUGUCUUGGGCUACACACGUGCUACAAUGGCCGGUACAAAGGGUAGCGAAGCCGCAAGGCGGAGCGAAUCUCAGAAAGCCGGUCUCAGUUCGGAUGUGGGCUGCAACCCGCCCACGUGAAGUCGGAGUUGCUAGUAAUCGCGAAUCAGCAUGUCGCGGUGAAUGCGUUCCCGGGCCUUGUACACACCGCCCGUCACACCAUGGAAGUUGGGAGCACCCGAAGCCAGUGGCCUAACCGCAAGGGGGGAGCUGUCGAAGGUGAGAUCAAUGACUGGGGUGAAGUCGUAACAAGGUA
RNAcentral lists this ribosomal RNA (1479 nucleotides) under uncultured low G+C Gram-positive bacterium. RNAcentral describes it as "bacterial SSU rRNA". It matches the Rfam family "Bacterial small subunit ribosomal RNA". Lineage: Bacteria; Bacillati; Bacillota. The record is from RNAcentral.